AGAGUUUGAUCCUGGCUCAGAUUGAACGCUGGCGGUAUGCCUAACACAUGCAAGUCGAACGAGGUAGCAAUACCUAGUGGCGGACGGGUGAGGAAUACGUAGGGAUCUGCCCUUAAGUGGGGGAUAACCGGGGAAACCCGGAUUAAUACCGCAUAACAUGCUGCCUUUUAAGAGGUGGACAUCAAAGCCGGGGACCGCAAGGCCUGGCGCUUAAAGAGGGGCCCGCGCCUGAUUAGCUAGUUGGUGGGGUAAUGGCUCACCAAGGCAACGAUCAGUAUCCGGCCUGAGAGGGCGGACGGACACACUGGGACUGAGACACGGCCCAGACUCCUACGGGAGGCAGCAGUGGGGAAUUGUUCGCAAUGGGCGCAAGCCUGACGACGCAACGCCGCGUGGAGGAUGAAGAUCUUCGGGUUGUAAACUCCUUUCGAUCGAGACGAAUGGCCCUUGGGCUAACAUCCCGAGGGAGUGACGGUACCGAGAGAAGAAGCCCCGGCUAACUCCGUG
RNAcentral lists this ribosomal RNA (507 nucleotides) under uncultured bacterium. RNAcentral describes it as "bacterial SSU rRNA". It matches the Rfam family "Bacterial small subunit ribosomal RNA", at positions 8 to 507 of the family's 1533-position model. The record is from RNAcentral.